AACAUGACAGGAAACCACUCGAAACGUCACUUUUUUUUGUGCUGCAUAUGACUGUGUGCUCCAUCACAAAUUUCACCUCUGAUGAUUAUAGAAAUGACAUUUUUAGGUUCAUUUCUUUAUAUAGUUCUAUAUGACACCUGUAAACAAAUCUCUAUUCUUUCUUUGCACUGACUUUUGAUCAACUGGUGUUUUUUGUGAUUGUUAAUAAAUACAUUAAGACAGUUGUCCUAGCUGUGUAACCACAGGUGUAGUGUAUCUCCUAACCCCAACGUGUACAAAUACUUUGUUAAAUUUGAAAUGAUUAGCUUGAACGUGCUAGUGUUAUUUUAAAUAUAAAUGCUAAUUAUGCAGUGAAAUUUAAUUCAAUAGUUUGACACUAUCAUGUGAAAAGACAAUGCCAUACACUUAAGCAUGUGCAGUUUUAGUAUGCGUGGGUUGUGUAAGUUUCCUGUAAUGAGAUGAUGAGGUUUAGCAGAUCGACACAACAUCAACAUUAACAGGUUUGGUUGAUUUGUAGAGCCAUUGACAUGUAUAUAUGCAAUCAUUUUCAUUAAGACUAGAUUUCUUCUAGAAGUAUGGAAAUAUUUGAGCAUAUUAAACUAAUUAGGAUAUAUCAGAGAAUUUGAUGCAGGUUAAAUUGCAACAGGUCAGAAAUGCAGGAAGAUCUCAUCGAUAGAAUCUCUCAGUAACGCACCUAUUUUGCUGAUCUGACAACGUACACUAUCGCUUUCAUCGCCUUAUUUUCAGAUGACCUCGAAACUUAAGCUCUGCGAACAUCGCGGCUGUCAUCAUAAACGCAAAGUGAAAUGCGACCCUGACAGAAGAUCCAUCGGGUAAACAAAGGCAAUUGAAAACACUGUAGAUUGCCUGAAAUGGGCCUUUGUGCUCAAAGGCUAAAAACAAGGCCAACAGCAGGCCAGAAAGAACACAGAAAAUGCAUUGUUUAAUUUCAAAACGUUAAUAUAUUUUCUAUUUUAUAGUGAACAUAUGCAUCUGACACCCUUGUCACCCUUUUUUUUUUUUUGCAGCAACAACAGAGGAGGAUUUGUUUCUCAAAGUUGGGGUGAUGCCUAUAAUGAUGCCUCUCCAAAUAAAUAUUACUUUAUAAAAUAAUAAAACUUCAAAUAAAUAUUUUUACACUAAACAAUGUGUUGAAAUUAGAAAAUAAAGUUUUUCUUAGGGUCACUGUACAAUUUACAAGUAUAGUUGUAGGGAUAAUUCAUGUAAGGUUCCUCUUCUAUAAGGCAAAAUAUCAAAAGAGUGAUUGACAUACAUUCGAAACGAAUGUACAACACUAUACAAGUUUUGUAUAUGCAUCAUAUAUAUGGAUCUGUCAAGGUGCCUCUGGUUUGGCACAAUGUGUUUCACAGUUGAAAUA
Pimephales promelas (fathead minnow) is the source of this 1378-nucleotide long non-coding RNA. RefSeq lists it as uncharacterized. Lineage: Eukaryota; Metazoa; Chordata; Actinopteri; Cypriniformes; Leuciscidae. The record is from RefSeq and is a predicted model, not a curated record.